This 497-nucleotide ribosomal RNA is filed under the name uncultured bacterium. Its description in RNAcentral is "partial 16S ribosomal RNA". It matches the Rfam family "Bacterial small subunit ribosomal RNA", at positions 28 to 507 of the family's 1533-position model. The record is from RNAcentral.
GAUGAACGCUGGCGGCGUGCCUAAUACAUGCAAGUCGAGCGAACGGACGAGAAGCUUGCUUCUCUGAUGUUAGCGGCGGACGGGUGAGUAACACGUGGAUAACCUACCUAUAAGACUGGGAUAACUUCGGGAAACCGGAGCUAAUACCGGAUAAUAUUUUGAACCGCAUGGUUCAAAAGUGAAAGACGGUCUUGCUGUCACUUAUAGAUGGAUCCGCGCUGCAUUAGCUAGUUGGUAAGGUAACGGCUUACCAAGGCAACGAUGCAUAGCCGACCUGAGAGGGUGAUCGGCCACACUGGAACUGAGACACGGACCAGACUCCUACGGGAGGCAGCAGUAGGGAAUCUUCCGCAAUGGGCGAAAGCCUGACGGAGCAACGCCGCGUGAGUGAUGAAGGUCUUCGGAUCGUAAAACUCUGUUAUUAGGGAAGAACAUAUGUGUAAGUAACUGUGCACAUCUUGACGGUACCUAAUCAGAAAGCCGCGGCUAACUACGUG